This 253-nucleotide ribosomal RNA is filed under the name uncultured bacterium. Its description in RNAcentral is "partial 16S ribosomal RNA". It matches the Rfam family "Bacterial small subunit ribosomal RNA", at positions 524 to 776 of the family's 1533-position model. The record is from RNAcentral.
UACGAAGGGGGCUAGCGUUGCUCGGAAUCACUGGGCGUAAAGGGUGUGUAGGCGGGUCUUUAAGUCAGGGGUGAAAUCCUGGAGCUCAACUCCAGAACUGCCUUUGAUACUGAAGAUUUUGAGUUCGGGAGAGGUGAGUGGAACUGCGAGUGUAGAGGUGAAAUUCGUAGAUAUUCGCAAGAACACCAGUGGCGAAGGCGGCUCACUGGCCCGAUACUGACGCUGAGGCACGAAAGCGUGGGGAGCAAACAGG